RNAcentral lists this ribosomal RNA (253 nucleotides) under uncultured bacterium. RNAcentral describes it as "partial 16S ribosomal RNA". It matches the Rfam family "Bacterial small subunit ribosomal RNA", at positions 524 to 776 of the family's 1533-position model. The record is from RNAcentral.
UACGUAGGGUCCAAGCGUUAAUCGGAAUUACUGGGCAUAAAGGGUGCGUAGGCGGUCGGGUAAGUCUGCUGUGAAAACUCGAGGCUCAACCUCGAGACGUCGGCGGAAACCAUCUGGCUAGAGUCCGGAAGAGGAGAGUGGAAUUCCUGGUGUAGCGGUGAAAUGCGCAGAUAUCAGGAAGAACACCCGUGGCGAAGGCGGCUCACUGGGACGGUACUGACGCUGAGACGCGAAAGCGUGGGGAGCAAACAGG